AGCCCCCUGUAUCCGUGCUGAGAUUUCGUCAGAGAUCAGCCUGUUAGGGCUGAUGAAGCUUCUCAAAUAAGUGAAGCG
RNAcentral lists this microRNA precursor (78 nucleotides) under Trichobilharzia regenti. RNAcentral describes it as "mir-3492 microRNA precursor family". It matches the Rfam family "mir-3492 microRNA precursor family". Lineage: Eukaryota; Metazoa; Platyhelminthes; Trematoda; Strigeidida; Schistosomatidae. The record is from Rfam by way of RNAcentral.